CCAUCAUGCUCCUAGUCCCUUCCUUGAAGCAAUCAAGUAAGUCACAUGAUGAGCUUCAAGCAAGGGACUUAGAGUUGGUG
RNAcentral lists this microRNA precursor (80 nucleotides) under Tupaia belangeri (northern tree shrew). RNAcentral describes it as "miRNA (ENSTBEG00000020681.1)". Lineage: Eukaryota; Metazoa; Chordata; Mammalia; Scandentia; Tupaiidae. The record is from RNAcentral.